CGCUUAUUAGUGUUUUCUUAAUGAAAUAGAAAAAUUUGGGGAGACAAACAGGAGAAACAUGAGGCUGGACAUAGGAAAAAAUGAGUGAAUAGUAGUGUACUAAGACAUUUACCCAGAAUAUAGCUUAGAGAUAAUGAACAGGUAGUUAAGAGAAUUGAAGGAUUGAGAGUCAUCAACUUAAGAAUUUCAGAAAAAUGGAAUAAAGUGAAUGACAAGAGAAGCCAUAUUUGAUAAGACAAUGAGAAUCUUCUUGUGUUGGAGAUAGUUUACAGAUGAAAAAUUUUCAAAUAUUAAGGAAGGUAAAAAUAAGUCCACCCAUGUCUUGAAAUUAUGGGG
This 336-nucleotide long non-coding RNA is filed under the name Bos taurus (domestic cattle). Its description in RNAcentral is "long non-coding RNA NONBTAT010787". Lineage: Eukaryota; Metazoa; Chordata; Mammalia; Artiodactyla; Bovidae. The record is from RNAcentral.